CCUACGGGAGGCAGCAGUGAGGAAUAUUGGUCAAUGGGCGCGCGCCUGAACCAGCCAAGUAGCGUGAAGGAUGACUGCCCUACGGGUUGUAAACCUCUUUUAUCAAGGAAUAAAGUGAGCCACGUGUGCCCUUUUGUAUGUACUUUAUGAAUAAGGAUCGGCUAACUCCGUGCCACCAGCCGCGGUAAUACGGAGGAUCCGAGCGUUAUCCGGAUUUAUUGGGUUUAAAGGGAGCGUUGGUGGGUUGUUAAGUCAGGUGGGAAAGUUUCGGGCUCAACCGUCAAAUUGCCAUUGAUACUGGCAGCCUUGAGUACAGUUGAGGUAUGCGGAAUGCGUGGUGUAGCGGUGAAAUGCUUAGAUAUCACGAAGAACUCCGAUUGCGAAGGCAGCAUACCGACGCGCCACUGACAUUGAUGCUCGAAAGUGUGGGUAUCGAACAGGAUUAGAUACCCUGGUAGUC
This 460-nucleotide ribosomal RNA is filed under the name uncultured bacterium. Its description in RNAcentral is "partial 16S ribosomal RNA". It matches the Rfam family "Bacterial small subunit ribosomal RNA", at positions 338 to 795 of the family's 1533-position model. The record is from RNAcentral.